CCCCGGGCUUAACCUGGGAACUGCAUUUGAUACUGGUAAGCUAGAGUACGGUAGAGGGGGGUAGAAUUCAUAGUGUAGCGGUGAAAUGCGUAGAUAUUAUGAGGAAUACCAGUGGCGAAGGCGGCCCCCUGGACCAAUACUGACGCUGAGGUACGAAAGCGUGGGUAGCGAGCAGGAUUAGAUACCCUGGUAGUCCACGCCGUAAACGAUGUCAACUAGCCGUUGGGACCUUGAGGUUUCAGUGGUGCAGCUAACGCGUGAAGCUGACCGCCUGGGGAGUACGGCCGCAAGGCUAAAACUCAAAUGAAUUGACGGGGGCCCGCACAAGCGGUGGAGCAUGUGGUUUAAUUCGAUGCAACGCGAAGAACCUUACCUACCCUUGACAUUGACAGAAUCCAGUAGAGAUACAGGAGUGCCUUCGGGCCUGGAAAACAGGUGCUGCAUGGCUGUCGUCAGCUCGUGUCGUGAGAUGUUGGGUUAAGUCCCGCAACGAGCGCAACCCUUGUCCUUAGUUGCCAGCACGUUAUGGUGGGAACUCUAAGGAGACUGCCGGUGAUAAACCGGAGGAAGGUGGGGAUGACGUCAAGUCAUCAUGGCCCUUAUGGGUAGGGCUACACACGUGCUACAAUGGCCAGUACAGAGGGCUGCAAACUUGCGAGAGUAAGCAAAUCCCACAAAGCUGGUCGUAGUCCGGAUUGGAGUCUGCAACUCGACUCCAUGAAGUUGGAAUCGCUAGUAAUCGUGAAUCAGAAUGUCACGGUGAAUACGUUCCCGGGCCUUGUACACACCGCCCGUCACACCAUGGGAGUGGGCUGCAAAAGAAGUGGGUAGUUUAACCUUCGGGAGAACGCUCACCACUUUGUGGUUCAUGACUGGGGUGAAGUCGUAACAAGGUA
This 896-nucleotide ribosomal RNA is filed under the name uncultured Gammaproteobacteria bacterium. RNAcentral's name for it is "bacterial SSU rRNA". It matches the Rfam family "Bacterial small subunit ribosomal RNA", at positions 601 to 1498 of the family's 1533-position model. Lineage: Bacteria; Pseudomonadati; Pseudomonadota; Gammaproteobacteria. The record is from RNAcentral.